This 350-nucleotide ribosomal RNA is filed under the name uncultured bacterium. RNAcentral describes it as "partial 16S ribosomal RNA". It matches the Rfam family "Bacterial small subunit ribosomal RNA", at positions 338 to 686 of the family's 1533-position model. The record is from RNAcentral.
CCUACGGGUGGCAGCAGUGAGGAAUAUUGGUCAAUGGGCGCGAGCCUGAACCAGCCAAGUCGCGUGAAGGAUGACUGCCCUACGGGUUGUAAACUUCUUUUAUCAAGGAAUAAAGUGCGGCACGUGUGCGCUUUUGUAUGUACUUUAUGAAUAAGGAUCGGCUAACUCCGUGCCCGCCGACGCGGUAAUACGGAGGAUUCGAGGGUUAUCCGGUUUUAUUGGGUUUAAAGGGUUCGUCGGGGGGUUUUUAAGUCAGGGGUAAAAGUCGGGGGCUAAACCGAAGAAUGGCAUUGGAACUGGGAGGCUUGAGUUGGAGUGAGGUAGGCGGAAUUCGCGGUGUAGCGGUGAAA